UACAGAGGGUGCGAGCGUUGUCCGGAAUCACUGGGCGUAAAGGGCGCGUAGGCGGUCUGCUAAGCGUGUGGUGAAAGCUCGGGGCUCAACCCCGAGUCGGCCGUGCGAACUGGUGGACUGGAGCAUGUCAGAGGCAGGCGGAAUUCCGGGUGUAGCGGUGGAAUGCGUAGAGAUCCGGAAGAACACCGGUGGCGAAGGCGGCCUGCUGGGACAUUGCUGACGCUGAGGCGCGACAGCGUGGGGAGCAAACAGGA
RNAcentral lists this ribosomal RNA (254 nucleotides) under uncultured prokaryote. Its description in RNAcentral is "partial 16S ribosomal RNA". It matches the Rfam family "Bacterial small subunit ribosomal RNA", at positions 524 to 777 of the family's 1533-position model. The record is from RNAcentral.